CCGGAGGGCGGUAGCUCUACCCCUCCUCCGCCGUUCGUGGUGGCAGGUGGGCGGCGGCGCUCCCGAGCUCUCUAUGCUCGUCCGCUGCAGGGAAAGGAACGAGCGAUUUGGGUAUUCUUUGGUUGAUCAAUCGACAGAUCAGGUUCUGCCCAGCAAGGUUUUUGGCCAAACGGUACAAGUACUGUAUUCCUCUAUGUAUUUUGGUGUUAAAGAAAAUAGUAGAGCCGUAAAGAGGGAAAGAGGGAAAAUUAGAAAUGAAUCAAAUCUAAUGUGUGGAAAAUUAUCAAAGGUUAAAUAAUGUGUUCCAAAUUAUAGAAGUCUAAAGUAAAACGUGGCAAAUAGUAAAAGCUCCCUGCGUCCUCCAGGUCAAUUAACAGGUCGUAAACUCUUGCUCCCAUCUGUCGUCUACACGUCUCAUUUCACAUGGUUUAAUUUAGAAUAUUCAAUCUUCUUCAGGAAACGUAUAUAUGGUAGUAUUGUUCAUUUCUUUCACCUGCAGCCUGCAGGAGCAUUCUUCAGACCUUUGCAAGAGGCCAGGCUGUCCUUCAUCAUGUUCUGAAGAAAGUUGAAAAAGGGAUUUUGCAACGAUGACAAGGUGCAGAGGCUCGCACGGCAGCAUUGACUCGAAGUAUUCACCCACGGCACCACAACGGUCACGACCUUACUACUAGGCUCAACUACGAGAGCAAGCCAUCUUGCUUCUACCGGUUAUCUGGUAUGUUAUUUACUGGAUAGAUUUUUUGAACUUUUCAGCCAAUGUUUAGUUUCAGUUAUGUGGGGCAUGUUGACUCUUGAUCAGAAGGAGGUUGUGUGUUUACAAUGUUGCAUAAGAAGCAUUUUCUCUGAGUUAGUUUCUUGCAACCAAUACAUUGUAAUUAGUUUAAUGAUUUUUUUUAUUUGCAUAACACCUUCUUUUUUAUACAAGGCAAUGUAGAUUUUUUGAAGAAAGGGGAUGAACACAGUGUAUCGAAUUAUGUCCGUUGUUUGCUGCUUCUUAGCAGCAUAUCAUGUUCCUUUCGGUAAGUUUUUGGGUUUGUUAUUACAAAAUAUGAAAUGGACGGAUGCUUCAGUUUUUGUUAUCUACUUAGGAACCAGUAAUAAAAGACGAUGUCGAGACUGUUCUCCUUGGUCUCCUUUUAGUUUUCCGAUGAUUGCGUACUUUCUUGAUUUUUUUUUGUUGUACAUAUAUGUUACUAAGUUAGGUACUUUCAAAAUUUGGCUUUAUGCUUGCUAUUACACCUCCAUGUAAAUGGUACAUAAAUACUCUUGAACUAAAUAACACUUGCUAUGCAGGUAUGGUUAUUAUUAUAGACCUUUAUGUUUGGCUAUGAUUGGUAAUGGACAAUUAAUGAAAUCAGAAUGUCCAAAUAAAGUCAUAUGCAGAUCAAGUUUAUAAAUAGAUGCUCCUAUGUCAUGAGCGAAGAGAUAAAUGCAUUUUACAGGUCUCUUGAUGCCCAAAAGAAUAUUAUCUUUUACAAGGCAUCAUGAUGCAGACUAAGUAUAUAAAUUGAUAACGGAUUCUCAAACAGCCGUGAAAAUUUCAUGGAGCCAACAGAAAAUUAGAACAAGUUCAGUAUAAUCUGAAUUUAUAUCCUCCUUUUACGUAAUAGAAUAUAGUAUUAGAUUUUGUUUGUUUCUAUACUUUUGGACGUAGUUACCGCUCUUCUUCCUGUUUUAGUCGGUACAUUUUAUUUAAACAAAUUUCUGGUUCCUUUGUUUGGUCACGAUGGCUCUGCCAUGCUCCUAUGAUUUUGAUUCUUCAAUACUUUAUGCGUUUGUGCGCCCACUUAUCUAGCAGAACAAAGUAGCAAAGGUCCUCACUGUUACCAUGCAGUUCAAUUGUAGCUUCAUCUACUGGUUUGGUGGAAACACGAAAGCAAGGAUUGGUCAUCUUCACUGCCUUAGCCCUUCACAGUGAUGGUUGGUCUCUUCUGGUAGCAGUUGCCUAAAUAACAAAUCAGUGACUCCAUAAAGAGCUAUAUAUAGGUAUUCCAAUCCUAGAUGCGUUACUACCAAUGCUUUGUGCAUUCAUUGGUCAUACAUUCGUUACCUCAACACCUGGUGAGCUCUUGAAAAAGAUUUCACCGUCUACGGCUGCCGGAUUUUAUAUUGUAAGCUGCUCUUAAAAUGUAAUGCAAAUACUGACAAAUAAGGUCAACCAGUCACUAAAUUAUCUCUCCUUUUAUACCAACCAAAGACAGCUAUUGGCUAUGUUAUCUUAAGCCUUUAUUUGCAUUGGAGCCUAGAAUAUACUUCAGAUUUGUUGUUCCAUUUUGUGGUAUCUCUGUUGAGUGUUACAUUUCACCAAGGAUGUUUGAUUUAGAAGCUAUAAAAAAAAAAUCUUGGCAGUGGUGUUACAUCCUAAGCCUGACACCUAUUUUGCAGACAUGCGAUGUGUAUGUGUGUUUGCCAAGGAAAAUAUGCAUGUUUGGGUUAGAGUUAAAAUGUCAAAUGAUAUUGUGUUUGCCAAGGAUGGAUUGUCAGUGGUGAAGUGGAGUUAUAUAGUGGUUAUCCAAAUAUGGCUCGAUUGGGUGUGGAGUCACUCAGAUCAUUCAUCUCAAGUUAGCUGAUCUGCCGUGCAGCCUAAAUUCAGCACCAAUUAUUGAGUACAUCCUCAGCCCAUUUGCUUUGGUCAAAAUACAUGGAACAAUAACAAAUGAUAGUUCUUCUGACCUUGGUAGUACGAUGGCUACCUACUACUGUACUGAGUGGUGUGUUGUUGCUCAUGUUAUACCAACUUUGCGGCGAGUUAAGUCUUAUCUCACAGAUUGAACACAGCUUUCCUCGGACAGCAGUUGCAAAUGUCCACUAUUCUCCAUAUCUAUACAUUCCAGGACUAUUUUAGAUGGAGUGCUGCCUAUUUAGCUCACGCUAUGUUAACUUUUCAUAAACUAUUUGAUGCACAAGAGAAUUUAUUAGUGUUGGUAUAUAGUAGUUGGAAUUUAACUAUUGCUUAGUGUUUAACUUAGUUGUUGACAUGAACUGCAGGACCAAGAUGGUGUUCAGACAACUAACUUUAUGUAUCUGCAGAAGAUAGUUGUUGUAUCCAAUGUUUAAGUUGCUGUUAGAGCUGAUCAGAAGACAAAACAUCUGAACCCAAGUAUUUAGAGAUGGCAGUGUGGUAGUUACUUUAAUGUGUUUUCCGUUUCCUAAGGAGGCUGUAAUCAAGUUGCUAUUUUUUUCCUUUGCUUUACCUGCCUUUUGUAGUUCCUAUUGUAACCAGCUAAUUUAGUAAAACCUACAGUUUCUCCCUGUUCAGUUCUAAGCUUGGUAUUUUAGUUUCAGUACAUGUACAUCAGCAUAGGGAUCAAAGAGUGUCAUGAUGAUGAAAACAAUAAUGGAACCGGUGGCAGUACCGAAA
Lolium rigidum is the source of this 3361-nucleotide long non-coding RNA. RefSeq lists it as uncharacterized. The transcript has 4 exons. NCBI's taxonomy places the organism in Eukaryota, Viridiplantae, Streptophyta, Magnoliopsida, Poales, Poaceae. The record is from RefSeq and is a predicted model, not a curated record.